Molecule: microRNA, 17 nt
Filed under: Corchorus capsularis
Lineage: Eukaryota; Viridiplantae; Streptophyta; Magnoliopsida; Malvales; Malvaceae
Description: sRNA CCACVL1_04423
Source: RNAcentral
UUGGCCCUAUUCCCAGG